AUACAGGUGAGCAUUUCGGUGAGAGGUGCUCAGAUAGGACCAAGGUCGGUAGAAGAUGAAGAAGCCAGAGGUUCAUGAGAAGGAACGCACUUGCCAAUGAAGAAGUGAGGGGCUUAUUGCAGCCGUCCAAAGGUCUGAACAAGCCCUCAACAAGUAAGACGACUGGGCAGUGGCUCCCAACUGCUGUUUACCGGGUGAUUGGAUGCGUCGCCGAUCAAAGAUAUCAGAUUCAUGUUGGACAUCGCCUGCGCCCAUGCCAAGAUUGUCUCGCUUGUUGAAAUUUGUCUUGCAGGGUUGACAAUUGAUAUGAAAUGUAAUCUUUGCCUUGGAUAAUAAUAUUCUGCGUAAAACGUGUAUCAAAUUAAUUGUUGCACGCACCAAGAAUUUUUUAACGAAACUUCUGAUCAGAGAAAAAGAAAGAAAUGGAUGAGUGCUAUUACCCUGGUUAUACAUUUGUUUCUAAAUUGUAGUACAGUACUCUAUCCGCUCAUAUCGUUUCAAGGUAUUUUAUUUAUCAUGUAUAUUUAUUAUUGUGUCAGGAGGAGGUACCCGUCAGUUCUGAAAAAUAAACACGGCACUUUUUGGAGUUCACCUUCAACGAAAUAAUUUUAAUCCAAAAAGCAUUUUGCUGAAGUGAUGGAUGAAAACAAAAAUGAAAGUUAUGAAAUACACUUAUUAUUAUAAGGCGAUUUUUAGGUAGAGUACUGUGCCAGCACUAUUGAUUUCCUAGUUGAAGGUAAAAUUUUUCUGUGGGCAAAUCUUCAGUUAGUCACUUAGCUGUGCAUUUGAAGAUGUUUUAAAUAUUUGUUUUGGAUUGAAUUGAACUGAAAAUUCUAAGAAAUUCCGAGGAGAAAAUAUCUCAACUUUUUCAUAUGAAACUUUUGAGAGACAAACGGUUACAUAUAUUGAUAGUUAAGUUUGAGAAAAGAACAAGUUAUUUUAAAAUAA
Molecule: long non-coding RNA, 948 nt
Organism: Lingula anatina
Lineage: Eukaryota; Metazoa; Brachiopoda; Lingulata; Lingulida; Lingulidae
Source: RefSeq, a predicted model, not a curated record